CCUACGGGUGGCAGCAGUGGGGAAUAUUGGACAAUGGGCGAAAGCCUGAUCCAGCCAUGCCGCGUGUGUGAAGAAGGCCUUCGGGUUGUAAAGCACUUUCAGUGGGGAAGAAAGCCUUGGGGCUAAUACCCUCGAGGAAGGACAUCACCCACAGAAGAAGCACCGGCUAACUCCGUGCCAGCAGCCGCGGUAAUACGGAGGGUGCGAGCGUUAAUCGGAAUUACUGGGCGUAAAGCGCGCGUAGGCGGUCUGAUAAGCCGGUUGUGAAAGCCCCGGGCUCAACCUGGGAACGGCGUCCGGAACUGUCAGGCUAGAGUGCAGGAGAGGAAGGUAGAAUUCCCGGUGUAGCGGUGAAAUGCGUAGAGAUCGGGAGGAAUACCAGUGGCGAAGGCGGCCUUCUGGACUGACACUGACGCUGAGGUGCGAAAGCGUGGGUAGCAAACAGGAUUAGAUACCCGAGUAGUC
Molecule: ribosomal RNA, 465 nt
Filed under: Vreelandella stevensii
Lineage: Bacteria; Pseudomonadati; Pseudomonadota; Gammaproteobacteria; Oceanospirillales; Halomonadaceae
Description: partial 16S ribosomal RNA
Rfam family: Bacterial small subunit ribosomal RNA
Source: RNAcentral